GAAUAAUUUAACUAAAAAGUAUGUGAAGUUUUAUGCAAUAAUUAUAGAUAGUUUCUGAGAUACGGCGCGACAUGUGAACCCCCACCCCCUUUUUGUCAUAAACUCAAUAACUCUAAAAUCAAAUUCUGAAUCAUUCUCAAAAGUAUAUACAAAUUCUUCAGAAUUAUAUAACCAAGAAGUGUGUAAAGUUUUGAGCAAUAGUCAUAAAACGUUUUCUAGAUACAGCGCGAACUGUAAAAAAAAACU
This 246-nucleotide long non-coding RNA is filed under the name Mytilus galloprovincialis (Mediterranean mussel). The record is from RNAcentral. Lineage: Eukaryota; Metazoa; Mollusca; Bivalvia; Mytilida; Mytilidae.